Long non-coding RNA from Mauremys reevesii (Reeves's turtle), 1023 nucleotides. RefSeq lists it as uncharacterized. The record is from RefSeq and is a predicted model, not a curated record. NCBI's taxonomy places the organism in Eukaryota, Metazoa, Chordata, Testudines, Geoemydidae. The transcript is spliced from 3 exons.
GAUUUUAAGAUCCUUUCAAUGGCUCAACACCUUUGUAGCCUAUUUUCUGAGAGAUUCCUUCACUUCCAUCAGCGUUUAAUAGGAGUUCAAAUUCUGUUUCAAUGAAAAGAUAUGAUGAUGUCCAUCAAAAGCAAGCAAUUCUCACUCCAGAAAAUAUAUGAGAAAAGAGGUGGGCCUCACAGUUCUGGGCAGGAGUUUUGGGCUAUGUUAGACCAGCAAAGAGAGUGAAUUCCAGCAUCCAAGGUUCUCCACUGAGGACUCUAUGCUUCCAGGUAUAUAAAUUUAGAUACUGUUAGCUCAGCUGCUCUAUUCUAUUCAGGUGCAUAUGCAACACCAAUUUCCAUGGUCUUCAACUGACAUGACAGUAUUUAGGGAGGAGAGAAGUCACUGAUUUAAGUGACGCAAAAAAAAGGCCACAUUCUGAGCUUCAUCUAAGAUGCACUCAGGAACAUGAUUGGAGCCUAAAUACUUUUAGAAAGACGUGUGUUGUAGGUGCAGAUGUGGCAUAACCAGAUCUUACUAGUUCAUGGCGAAUAGCAGCUAUGAUAGAUGGGGACAAGAUAGAUAUUCUGCCUCAGAGAUAAGCCUACUAAAUCAGGGUGGGCUGUGACCUGGGACUUCUAAAUUGUGAAAUGCAAAAGGGUGUGGCUGCAUGUAGCAUGCAUGCUACAUUUUCCAUGAGUGUGGUCUUUGAAUUGUAGAUCCACUGAUACAGUGUUCUGUUUUGGAGUAGAGAUUUUCUCUUUGUAGUGCCAGGCUAUUUUACCAGUACUUUUCCCUUCCUGUCAGGUGCCUGCCAAGUGCUCUUAUUUUCACUAUUGAGUGCAAGAUUUAUAAUAUCCUGCAUUUAUCUCCACUUUCUCAGCAAACUGCCUGUGGAGUGGAUGAAUAAUUCAGUCAUGCCAGUUUGAUUCUAUACAUUUUUAGCUUCUUCCACUCUGAACAAGAUUUGGCCCAUUCUAGGAGGGCAAAAGAAAAACAAUAAGUGGCUUUUCUGAACAUGAUCCUCCUCCCAAAUUUUAA